CCCAUUCAGUUCAGUUUGGUGUCUCUAACCUC
RNAcentral lists this non-coding RNA (32 nucleotides) under Mus musculus (house mouse). Lineage: Eukaryota; Metazoa; Chordata; Mammalia; Rodentia; Muridae. The record is from RNAcentral.